RNAcentral lists this ribosomal RNA (408 nucleotides) under uncultured bacterium. Its description in RNAcentral is "partial 16S ribosomal RNA". It matches the Rfam family "Bacterial small subunit ribosomal RNA", at positions 30 to 526 of the family's 1533-position model. The record is from RNAcentral.
AUUGAACGCUGGCGGCGUGCCUAAUACAUGCAAGUCGAGCGAAGCGGCGGAUGGGGGAGUAACGCGUGGGUAACCUGCCCUUAAGUCUGGGAUAACAUUUGGAAACAGAUGCUAAUACCGGAUAAUAACGGAGGGAGCUGGGUCGCAUUAGUUCGUUGGUAAGGUAACGGCUUACCAAGGCGAUGAUGCAUAGCCGAGUUGAGAGGCUGAUCGGCCACAUUGGGACUGAGACACGGCCCAAACUCCUACGGGAGGCAGCAGUAGGGAAUCUUCCACAAUGGACGAAAGUCUGAUGGAGCAACGCCGCGUGAGUGAAGAAGGUUUUCGGAUCGUAAAGCUCUGUUGUUGGUGAAGCGGUAAUCAACCAGAAAGUCACGGCUAACUACGUGCCAGCCGCCGCGGUAAUAC